UACGUAGGGGGCGAGCGUUAUCCGGAUUUAUUGGGUUUAAAGGGUGCGUAGGCGGAUCGUUAAGUCAGUGGUCAAAUUGAGGGGCUCAACCCCUUCCCGCCAUUGAAACUGGCGAUCUUGAGUGGAAGAGAAGUAUGCGGAAUGCGUGGUGUAGCGGUGAAAUGCAUAGAUAUCACGCAGAACCCCGAUUGCGAAGGCAGCAUGCCGGCUUCCUACUGACGCUGAAGCACGAAAGCGUGGGGAGCAAACAGG
RNAcentral lists this ribosomal RNA (252 nucleotides) under uncultured bacterium. RNAcentral's name for it is "partial 16S ribosomal RNA". It matches the Rfam family "Bacterial small subunit ribosomal RNA", at positions 524 to 776 of the family's 1533-position model. The record is from RNAcentral.